Molecule: transfer RNA, 72 nt
Filed under: Streptomyces phage FlowerPower
Lineage: Duplodnaviria; Heunggongvirae; Uroviricota; Caudoviricetes
Also listed under: 5 other names
Description: tRNA-Gln
Rfam family: tRNA
About the family: Transfer RNA (tRNA) molecules are approximately 80 nucleotides in length. Their secondary structure includes four short double-helical elements and three loops (D, anti-codon, and T loops).
Source: RNAcentral
UACUCCCUGGUGUAACGGUAGCAUGUGGGGCUCUGACCCCCUUGGUCUAGGUUCGAAUCCUGGGGGAGUAGC